AUAAUGAUAGAGAAGAGGAGGAGAAUAAUGGGUUAGGAACGCAGACAUUGAAUUGGAUGCCUAGCAGCAGCAACAGAGUUGGCAGCCGUGGCAGUACGUGGGAAGGAAGCAGUGGUAGAGGUGCUGGAUCACGACAUCGGCAUCAGCAUCAGCAUCAGCAUCAAUCAGGCAGUGGAGUUUAUCAUGGCAGAAGAAGGUAACUGACAGCAGAAGGAAGUACGUUGACAUGUUGGCACUUUCGUCCCAAUGGUAGUGUAACCCGUUACAGAUGAAAACGGGUCUUGGACUCAAAUUCAUGGCACCCAAGUUCCCACUCAGUGAUUGAAUAGCUGCAUUUACCCAUUGAGGUCUGUAGUGAGGCGAUACAUUACUCCCACUACAGAUGCCCAAACUAGUGAUGCAUAAGUUAUGUCAAUGCAAGGAUUAUUGACAAGGUUAGUGUCCGGAAUUUUGUUUGUUGGAGGAAGGUAGUGGUUAUGCUGAAUACAUACUAUACAGAAGAUUGUCACCCAUGAUUUGCACGAUGGUGAUUCCUAAAUAUGCUCAGUAGGGUGCUUAUAG
RNAcentral lists this unclassified non-coding RNA (561 nucleotides) under Hevea brasiliensis (rubber tree). Lineage: Eukaryota; Viridiplantae; Streptophyta; Magnoliopsida; Malpighiales; Euphorbiaceae. The record is from RNAcentral.